UCUUAAAGGAAUUGACGGAAGGGCACCACCAGGAGUGGAGCCUGCGGCUUAAUUUGACUCAACACGGGGAAACUUACCAGGUCCAGACAUUGGCAGGAUUGACAGGGUGCUUGCUCUUUCUUGAUUCUUUGGGUGGUGGUGCAUGGCCGUUCUUAGUUGGUGGAGUGAUUUGUCUGGUUAAUUCCGAUAACGAACGAGACCUUAACCUGCUAACUAGUCGCCGUUCAUCCGAGCAGUGGACUUCUUAGAGGGACUUUGGGGGCUACUCCAAGGAAGUUUGAGGCAAUAACAGGUCUGUGAUGCCCUUAGAUGUCCUGGGCCGCACGCGCGCUACACUGACGCAGGCAGUAAGUCUCCGUGGCAGACAUGCCUCGGUAACCUCCAAACUGCGUCGUGAUGGGGAUUGACUCUUGGAAUUUUUGGUCAUCAACGAGGAAUUCCUAGUAAACGCAAGUCAUCAGCUUGCAUUGAUUACGUCCCUGCCCUUUGUACACACCGCCCGUCGCUCCUACCGAUUUCGAGUGAUGAGGUGAACCCUCCGGACUGCUCACCUUGUGAGUGGAAAGUUGAGUAAAUCUUAUCACUUAGAGGAAGGAGAAGUCGUAACAAGGUAUCUGUAGGUGAACCUGCAGAUGGAUCAUUAACA
RNAcentral lists this ribosomal RNA (646 nucleotides) under uncultured ciliate. RNAcentral's name for it is "SSU rRNA". It matches the Rfam family "Eukaryotic small subunit ribosomal RNA", at positions 1142 to 1831 of the family's 1831-position model. Lineage: Eukaryota; Ciliophora. The record is from RNAcentral.